UCAUAUGAUGACUGAGCGUGUGUCGUCCAUUCCUCUUCAACCUGAAAGAGGAAAACAAUGUUUCAAAUGACCUUUUCAUGCCUAAAUGAAGUCAAAUAAAAGUCCCGGUUUCCUGCAUUGUGUAAUGGUCAUCCUGUGCAGGGAGUCCUGGGCCAGAGGGGAUCUCUUCUGAACAAUAAACAUGAUGAGCAGAGUGCCUGCAACACAGAGACAAAUAACAAGCUACUGGAUGGCAAUCAGUCUGGCUUCAAAAGUGGACACACCACCGAGACUGCCCUGCUGCCUGUCACUGAGACAUCUAAUCCAGAUCAUCAGUCCCGAUUCUGAUGGACCUUUCUGUAGCCUUCGACAAGGUUAACCUUCAGAUCUUAUUCUCCUCCCUCUCUUCGCUGGGCACCACAGGAACUGUGCUUGCCUGGUUUAAUUCCUAUCUCUCCAGUAGGUCCUUCAA
Molecule: long non-coding RNA, 451 nt
Organism: Xyrauchen texanus (razorback sucker)
Lineage: Eukaryota; Metazoa; Chordata; Actinopteri; Cypriniformes; Catostomidae
Exons: 3
Source: RefSeq, a predicted model, not a curated record